AGAAGAAUUUAGUUUAUUUGUAAAAUGUUAGAUUGUAAAUCUAAAGAAUUUAUUCUUG
This 58-nucleotide transfer RNA is filed under the name Kalicephalus indicus. RNAcentral's name for it is "tRNA-Tyr". The record is from RNAcentral. Lineage: Eukaryota; Metazoa; Nematoda; Chromadorea; Rhabditida; Diaphanocephalidae.